AGUCAGUAGUAAUCGUGAAGGUUGUGUGUUGGUAGUUUUAUAGAAUUUCAUGUUAGUCAGUAGUAAUCGUGAAGGUUGUGUGUUGGUAGUUUUAUAGAAUUUCAUGUUAGUCAGUAGUAAUCGUGAAGGUUGUGUGUUGGUAGUUUUAUAGAAUUUCAUGUUAGUCAGUAGUAAUCCUGAAGGUUGUGUGUUGGUAGUUUUAUAGAAUUUCAAGUGAGUCAGUAGUAAUCGUGAAGGUUGUGUGUUGGUAGUUUUAUAGAAUUUCAUGUUAGUCAGUAGUAAUCGUGAAGGUUGUGUGUUGGUAGUUUUAUAGAAUUUCAUGUUAGUCAGUAGUAAUCGUGAAGGUUGUGUGUUGGUAGUUUUAUAGAAUUUCAUGUUAGUCAGUAGUAAUCGUGAAGGUUGUGUGUUGGUAGUUUUAUAGAAUUUCAUGUUAGUCAGUAGUAAUCGUGAAGGUUGUGUGGUCUGUUAACCUUAAACUAUUGGACAAUCAUUUUCUACCAUUAUAGUGUGAUGGUAAUAUUGGA
This is a long non-coding RNA of Mytilus californianus (California mussel), 524 nucleotides long. RefSeq lists it as uncharacterized. Lineage: Eukaryota; Metazoa; Mollusca; Bivalvia; Mytilida; Mytilidae. The record is from RefSeq and is a predicted model, not a curated record. The transcript has 5 exons.